This 1890-nucleotide long non-coding RNA is filed under the name Salmo salar (Atlantic salmon). Its description in RNAcentral is "lncRNA (ENSSSAG00000084222.1)". Lineage: Eukaryota; Metazoa; Chordata; Actinopteri; Salmoniformes; Salmonidae. The record is from RNAcentral.
GAUCACACCAGAAUCUGAAGACUGUGAGUUUCUCCUCUGUGUGUCUGUAUCUUGUAUUAUUAAGGGCCAUGCCAUUAACCCUACAACAGGUCUGUUGAACCGCUGAACAUUAUAUGGAAGGACACUUGAGGCACAAAGCAUUCUUUUGGGCAGUGUGCAAUGUGAGUUUUUCACCUGUGAUAUUUUACAAAGACUGACAGGUUACUUUAAUUGUGUGUGUGUGUGCGCAUGUGUAUCAUCACAGGUGAUCAAAGACUCAUUCAUAACCUGAUUUUGGAUUCUGGAAUCAUCUGGCAGCUAGCAUCUAGAGUGUGGAAGAACAAGGAUAUCCAAACCCAUCAGCCUAGAACAGCAUGAAGAUGGAACUGCUAAAAGAUCAUCUAUGUAAGGGCUUUGAUAGUCGCGUUGCAGGAAUGAGGCGCAGGAAGCAACGAACACAGGGAGUGGUGUUUUUAAUAACACUGAAGCAAAAACAAAGUUCCCAAGCACAGGGGAAUAAACACAAUGAGCGACAAUGCAAAGCCGACACGAACAAGAAGUCGACAUACAAUAAUCAAUCCCGCACAACAAGGAGCGGGCCAGCUAAACUAAAUAGCCCCUCUAAUGGCUAAUUGACCACAGGUGUCCAAAAGCAAAAAAAGGGAAAAGCAAAAGGGAAUCGGUGGCAGCUAAUAGGCCGGUGACGACGACCGCCGAGCGCCACCCGAGCAGGAGGGGGCGCCACCGUCGGUGGGAAUCGUGACAAUCUAGGAAUCCUCCCUUCCUCGUGGAGCUUUUUGAAGGCUAUGAAAAAAGACAAAAGACAUGACAUUGACUCCUGAGUGUUGAACUUUUGCCCACUCUGUAGCCUCCCUGGUUAUUAUAUGACCCUGAUGGUCAUCUACGAUUGUUGGAACGUCUUUAAUAACAAUAAGGGGCAUAUGUACUCUUAAAUGUCCACUCAGCACAGCCCUCGGAGCAUGGUUCCUCUCUAGUUUUAAUCCUAGGUUUAUGACUUCUAGGGAGUGUUUCCUAGAUGCUGUGAAUCGGCAUAUGCAUUGAUGGGUCUUAGAUUUUUAGACUGGGUAUCUGUAAAACACUGACAACUGCUGAUGCAAAAAGGGGUUUUAAGAAAUACAUUUGGUUGAUUGAAAGAUUUGUAUUAUUAUCAAAAUAAUAUAACAAUAGUAUUAUUAUAAUCAUAAUCUUUAUUAUUAUUAUGUUACAGGUGUGACAUACCCAGAAAUGUCAACGUCUUGUCAAGUGCUCAAAUCUGUACAGCAGCCCCAGACAAUCAUGUACAGUAGGUCCAAUUUACAAGAAUGGGUUUACAAGGCAGUGAUGAAAACAGUUUAUAUGAGCGCUAAUUCAAACAUACAAUGAUAUAUAUUCGAUACAAUUACCCAUUCAAAACUAGUGUUACAAAAUCACUUCUCAUUGUGUUCAUUUCAAGGUUUCACAAACAUAAAACAACUAUCUAGUUAAUGUUUCUUGGACUAACACACUGUUGAGUUUCCUAUUUACUGAAGAACAAUCAUUAAGACAAAACACAAAAAGUUGUAAUGUAAUCUGUAUACAUGUCAUUCUAUACUGAAAACAGGUACAUUCUGAAAGAUUUUGAUGAUGUUGAUGUGAUAACACAUCUUUUUAUUCAUGUCUCAAUUUAGGAUAAUAGUGUUUAUUUUAAUUUUACUUAAAUUGUAUUAUUUAUGUUGUCUCAUACCAUGCUAAUACACUACCAAGCAAUGCAAACAGAUGUGGAAUUUACCCCAUAACAGUUGUGUCUUUUUGGAUCAAGAAUUGAUCAAGAAUUCCAAUAGGCGUGAUCAGAUCCUCUUUCCAUGCAGGCAUCAUAUAAUGCACAGCCACAUGCAAAUCCAUAAACUCCACCAAUAAAACAUUGAAAACCUU